GCCCCGCUAUGCCAUCUGCUUACCUCAGCUGCCAGAUACUUAAAUGCAACUAACUAAUAUAGGUUUUGCAUUUCUCCAUGGCCAUUCACGUACUGCCUGCUNUGUUCUAAUUCAGCAAUUUCUUUGACCACCUGAGCCUUAUCUUCCUCAAAUUGCUCAUCUUCUCUAUCCAUCUUAAAGUCAGCCAAGAAUCGCAGAAGCUUGCUUCUAUUUGCAAUGAGGAAACAAUUUCAGGAGGUUUAUUUUGAUUGGCAGCAAAUAGCUUGAAGACAUGAAAUGCAUCUGUCUGGAUGUUCUUGCUUGAUUCCCUUAGAAGAUUCAUUAGAAUCCGCAAGUUAUCUUUGGAGUUCACAUAUCGUACCAUGACCACAGAAUUUGAACGAUCAAGUAAAAUUUGACUCAAUAGCUUAACAGCUUGUCGUUUGGUGAUAUAACUGUCAGAUUCCAGCAGCUUUGAAUUAAAAUCCUGAAAGAACUAGAACCAACAAAAUUUUCGGAGAAAAGUUAAACUGUCAUAAAUCUAAGUAUUAAAAAUU
This 536-nucleotide unclassified non-coding RNA is filed under the name Hevea brasiliensis (rubber tree). The record is from RNAcentral. Lineage: Eukaryota; Viridiplantae; Streptophyta; Magnoliopsida; Malpighiales; Euphorbiaceae.